Molecule: non-coding RNA, 21 nt
Filed under: Caenorhabditis elegans
Lineage: Eukaryota; Metazoa; Nematoda; Chromadorea; Rhabditida; Rhabditidae
Source: RNAcentral
UCGAAUGUUCCCUCUUUGUUU